Elaeis guineensis (African oil palm) is the source of this 1256-nucleotide long non-coding RNA. RefSeq lists it as uncharacterized. NCBI's taxonomy places the organism in Eukaryota, Viridiplantae, Streptophyta, Magnoliopsida, Arecales, Arecaceae. The record is from RefSeq and is a predicted model, not a curated record.
CUCCAUCUUCUAUUGUCGAGAAGUGUUGAAGAAGAGGCUCUAGAUCGUGGCAAGCUGACAUUGGUGCUCAUCGAAGGUCGUGAAGGUGGCAGCCAUGAUGUGUCCUCUUAUCAUUGGUGCUCGUUGGCGGCGUACGGCAGCAACCAUGAUGUCGUUGAUUCAUGAUUCAUGGGAUCAUUGCCAUAUUGGUCUUUCCUACCAAAGGACGUCUUUCCCUCCAUUUGGGCAUUGUUUCGAUCGAUCGAUUAUCCAAGAAAUACCAUCUCUAAUUUUUCGCUGACCACCUGUUUGACGAAAUUCUAAGGCACUUUCUGACCCACAUUUUCUCUCAGGUCUUUCAUCAAAUGAGGAGCAUUAUAGACAUAAAGAAGAGUAUGAGAUAAAGCAUGAACGGGGCAAUGAGGAGGUGAUAAUACUGUUGAGUCUCCCUAAAAGAGAAGAGCUGCUGUGUAUAGGGAGGAGAUGGGCAAGUAUGAUGGUGAAUGUUAUGGAUCCCCAAAUAAUAUCAAAAUAAAUUUUUAUGAGUUUGAACAUUCAUUAUGUUUGUCAAACUAAUAAUAUUUUAUAUAGCAGGAGAAGCAUAUAAUGUUUGGAUCAAAUGAGUCACCGUAAGAUUUAAAGUGCCAAGCCACUAGUAAGAAGUAGCCUUCUGAAAAUUGUGAGGGUGUGGAGAAAGCUCCUUCUAAAAUUUAUGAGGGUACAGAGAAAGGUCAAGUGCAAGGCCACAAUCAGUUUUUAGAGGUCCUGUUCCCCAUGAAUAACACGAGUGACCAUUGGUGGCUGGUUGUGAUGCAUGUACGCAAGAAGCGGCUAGGCAUACAAUAUUAUAUGAAUAUCACAGUUAAAUGUUCACAUGAUUUGGGGGUUGUAAUGGCUGAUUUGGAUGUUACAUCAUAGCCUAUUGAGAACCAUGCUGGAAGUUUUGUUUGAUUAGAUCAUUAUGAAAGAUCAAAGAUUGUUCGUUCAGAUGGUGUAAUAUGACAAGAUCAAAGCAGGCACAACCUUAAUUAUAGAAAGUGGCUUCUUCUUGCUUGUUGUAAAUGCAAUGCAUGUCUCGUUUUCUUAUUAAUGUUGGUAAUACUAAUUUUGGUUACAUGCAUUCUAUGUGGAUAGCAUAUUUUAUAUGUAUAAUCUUUCAAAAUAUUACCUCGAACAAUGUAUAAAUCUAUUCGUCAUGUAUGACAUUUGAGAAGGUUUUAUGUAAUGAAAGAUUAGCUUUUUGAUAAGUUUUUGGAUGGAAAAAUCAGAGGCUGAAA